This is a long non-coding RNA of Limulus polyphemus (Atlantic horseshoe crab), 753 nucleotides long. RefSeq lists it as uncharacterized. Lineage: Eukaryota; Metazoa; Arthropoda; Merostomata; Xiphosura; Limulidae. The transcript is spliced from 2 exons. The record is from RefSeq and is a predicted model, not a curated record.
GAUUGCUGAAAGCAGUGAAAUGCAAGUAGACAGUGCCACCGACAUACUUUUUUGCGACUGACUCACAUGCAGUACUGCACAGACUUCAGAUUGGUUGGUCCCCAGACGAAUGGCAGAAAUCAAUGUAAAUGCAUGGUAAUACCUUUAUCUGGAUGUAUGAGCCAGGCUAUGCUGGGGUAUAGCUAAAUAAGGAAACUGAAAAGUUUGCAAGAGAAGCUCAUUUAUCAAAUUGAACACAACUCUAUUGGGAGGGUAUCUAUCUCCUCUGUGCUAGUAAAGUGAAAGAAGCAACCAUGGAAGCCUUUUAUCAACAUUCAGAUGGAAUGGGACUGCUGGAAAACACUUGGUGUAGCCAGGAUAAGCAAAAGACAGGGAAUCAGUAGGACAGUAUAUAGCUGGAAGCCACUGGUAAUAUUAGUAAAGAAGAUUGUAUUCACAUGAGAGGUCAGCUCCUAUCUGCGCAAAACUUAGGAUUGCCACCCAGUACUAACUCAACUGUAAAUGACAAAAGUUGGAGGCUGCUUAGAGCUAAAAGGACCAAGAUGUUUUUUCAAGAAAUACGAGAAUUAGACGGUGGCUGUUUUGGGCUUUUCCUACCACCUAUCACGACGAAUUUGAUUGGAAGCAGAUUUCUACCAGCUUCCUGACAAUAUUUCUGAGAGCUUUCUCUAGUAUAGGCGCCUCCUUCUUAAAUAUGAUAUUCUUUAUUGUUUUUGUGUGCUGAAUAAACAUGAUGGAACAUACUUGAGAAUA